RNAcentral lists this long non-coding RNA (8403 nucleotides) under Setaria italica (foxtail millet). Its description in RNAcentral is "long non-coding RNA (SITA_LNC005583)". The record is from RNAcentral. Lineage: Eukaryota; Viridiplantae; Streptophyta; Magnoliopsida; Poales; Poaceae.
AUUCAUCAGUCAACUCAUACAUGUAUAGGUAUGUAGCGACGGUGGAGGCAGGCAGGAUUCGGAGCGGUGGAAUGGAUCAUAGAUCCGGCGGUCGUUUAGCUCACCCUGCAGCAUGAAGCAAGAAUCAGUAUAUGCAUUUCAUGCAUGCAGUGAUUAAUUUAAUUACGUGCUGGUUGAAGCAAAAUUAAAGUCGAAGAUAUGGAUGAUUGAUCGAGGUGUUAAUUACCUGGAGCAGUCGGUGGAGGUGCUGAUGGAGUAUGGGAUGCUGACGCCGCACUUGGAUGGGAUGCUGGCGGCGUUGCCGGCGUUGAGUCCGCUGAUCCCCCUGGCGGCGUUCUUGAGGCAGUUGCAGGCGGCGCGCCUGUCGGCGGUGGUCCUGGCGGCGGAGUUGAGGCUCCUGACGCCGUUGCAGCAGCCGGCGGAGGGGGCGGAGCCCUGGCCGCGGGCGUAAGGGAGGCACUGGCCGAUGGCGGAGUUGACCUGGCCGCAGCUGAUGGCGGCCUCGGAGGCCGCCGCGGCGAGCAGCACCGCGGCCACGACGGCGAGCACCACCACCUGAGCGCGAGCCAUGCUGAUGUGCGUGUUCCUGUGCUAGCUGCUAGCUGCGCUGUGGUCGAUGGAUCGGAUGUGCUCUACAAGCUGCUUGGGAAGAAUGUGCUUUGCUUUGCUGGUGAGGAGGGAAUGUUGGUCUUUAAAUAGGGUCUCGAUCGACCUAGCUCUCUGUGUGGUUUGUGAGCGAUGACUGACGAGGACGGAGACGGGGAGCUGCUAGCUGAUGGGUGCAUGCAUGGCCAUGCCCAUGGUGUGUUGCAGUCGUCGGUGGAUCCCUGUCGUUGGUGUCGGUCUCGAUCGACCGGAUGGGAGUUAAGGGACCGGCAGGAGGUAGUUGGGAGUUGGGCCAGCAGAUGAUGGUCGGUGUGCAGUUGAGGCAGCACGCAUUCAAUUCAUUCAGUGUCAGUGAUCGAGGGUUUGGGGGGUGGAUGCGAGUGCUUAUCGAUGAUAAUUGUACGUUUAAACAUCAUACCAAUCCAUCCGUCCAUUCGUUUACACGGAUCGAUCCUUCCAGCUGUAAUCUUCCCACAAUAGUUAAUGCAUGGCUGCAACCAGAAACAAAUUAAAGACACGUACUCUUCCAGGAGGUUAGCCGUUGGUAAACUGAUUAAGUGAUGAAUUUACCCAGCAUAGUGACAGCAGACAGAUGCACAAGCAGGAAGCACCGACGGUUGCCGAAACUCGUUUGUCCACCCAGACCCUCCAGCUGCAGCCAUCGAGCUGCUAGCGAUGGACAACUGCAUGGGCCGGACGUCGCGACUGUGGUGUGGAUCGACACACCGCUACAUGCUUGUACAAGCCGCUGAGUACGAGUGAGGGAAGCGGUGCAACUCGUACACACUUGACAUCUGUCCAAGUCCAUGCAUCUACAUGCAUGUAUCUGCAUGCUCCAUAAGAAAAAAAAAGAAGAACGGUCUCGGACUGCGUCGGGGAUCUGAAUCGGGAUACUAAAUGCCACCCUCGCUGAACCGUCACCAAAGGUAAGCAACGUUUACUUAAGCGUGAUUGUAGGAAAUAAUGUUUGGACAGAGCAAAGGAGAUCCGCGACGUUUACUUAAGUGUGAUGGUAGGAAAUGAUGUUUGGACAGAGCAGAGAAGGUCCGGUUUCGCUUCGUGGGAUCAAGGAAAAAGUCGUGAAGGUCCAGGACACCUUCGCAUAUAGGUGACACGUGUCCUGCAUCAAUGUCCUGCCAAGUGCUAAUCGUGACACGUGUACCUACGAGUGCAUCAAAUAGCGGUCUCCUAUACACCGUAGGAGUACUAUGUAUUCAUGGCCUACUUAACUUUUAUUCGCGGACACUUGCUAGAGCGGGCACGCAAGGCUUGCAACUUUGCAAGUGGGUCGGCGUCCCACCGUGGAGAGUCAUAGCUGCUUGGCACAUGCAUUCCCCUGUGCCACCAACCUCUUGGCCCUCUUCUAGAACAAACAUAAAGAUGGCACUAUUAUUGGAUUAAGGUCAUGUUGCUGUUGUUGUGCAUAAGAUCAUUCCACAGAUUUACUAAUUUUGUCGUCGUUUCACCCGUAUGAUCAUGUGUUUAUGAGACCAUUAUCAUUGUGUUGUACAUAAAGCCAUUCUUAAUGAAACUCCGCCCCUCUCUCUUCGUAACCAUCUUGCUGUGCCAUUAAAGUUGUACGUGUCACAUCAUUUAAUAAAAUAAACUCUUUUGAAACACUAGUCUUCUUCUCCCUCGUGCGGAUACUCACACAAAUAUAUACACUAGUGGUGCUCUAAAACGAGCUGCAGCAAUUGCUUAGCUAAUAAUGGGGCGACUUUUGUUUUACUCUUGCUCAAUUUUUUUAACAAAUAAAAAUUAUGGCAUGCUAUCGUGUUUUUGGGCUCAUCCCAGAAAAAGGUGAAAGAAAAGCCAGCAAACAAAACAGAUCAGCCCAUAUACAAAACAGGAACAAGCAAUUUUAUACAAAAAGGAAAAGUCUAUCUAACACCCUUCAACUAUCGUGUGAGAUAGAAUUUGCUCCUCCAAAGUGUGGCGCUAGGUCUCUCACCUCCCUUGCUUGGGCCGAGACCGAAAACAAAGCCCAUAAAACUAGAAAGGCUUUGAAAAGCCCACAUCCGGAUAUCAUGCCAAAGCCGUACGGCCCAACAGAAGACUGUUGCUGUGCAUUCCAUGCAGUCCGAACAGAGUGGUUUUAUUCUCUGUCUGAACCAGGAUGCAUGCAGAAGCAGGGGCAAGGCAACUGGCAGGAGGCAGGGCCAGGCAUUGUCACAACUCAUGAAGAGCGAGGUCACCACUUGCAGAUCCGAUAGACUCGCGCGCACUACUAAAAAAAAAUGCGUGUAUCGAAAAGGAUGGCACAUAUGAUCCGAUACAAAGAGUUUAUUCAUUCAGAGAGCUGCCUGCCUAUAACGAAGCAUAUGCAGCAACAGGAAACACAGAGGCCCAGCAAACCCGGUCAUGAGCAAGGCAAGGAUUGUAUUGCUGGCCUAGCAGCUGGUACGACGACGACAGAGAUAUAUAGAUGCAUAUAUGGUGUAAAGGUAAGGUAGUAAACACGAGUGAUCACUGCUCCGAAUCUGAUGACCGACAUCCAUCCAUAUGAUGCCCUGCCACCUUCUGAUCAGUUAAUCCUGCAUAAAACAGGUAAUAAUGGUCAACAAGAAGGAAGAAUCUGAAGAGAUGAUGAUGUGAGUGGUAAUUAAGCAGUAGUAGUUACUUGGAGCAGUCGACGUUGGGGCUGAUGGGUACGCCGACGCUGACGCCGCACUUGCUUGGGAUGUUGGCGGCGUUGCCCAUGCUGGCGCCGCCUCCGCCGAGCCUGCCGGUCAUGCUCUUGAGGCAGGUGCAGGCCGCCUGGCGGUCGGCGGUGGAGGAGGCCCUGGUGCUGAGGGACCUGACCCCGUUGCAGCACGCCGUCGACGGGGACGCCGCGCUGCCCAUCGCGUACCCCAGGCACGGCACCACCGCCGACGUCACCUCGCUGCAGCUCACGGCCGCCGACGCCGUCUCCGCCGCCACCAGCGCAGCCAGCACGGCCACCACCGCCACAACGGCAACGCGAGGAGCCAUUGCACACGCAACGACAAGUGUAUACUGUGUGACUACUGAUGUGAUCAGUGAAGUGUAAGCUAGCUGAUUGUUUGGUAGUUUUAGCUUGGAUUGUUGAGCUUGUGACGGGGAGGCAGGGUAUAAGUAGGGAGUGAGGUGAAUUUUGGAGGGUGGUGAUCUGGCCUCGUAGUACUGCUGCGUACAUGUGCAUGAGUGCAGUGCACCGGUGGUUGAGAGCACCAAACCUGCAGUUGACCGUACGUAGUAGGACGAGAUGAAUGCAUGCACGUGAUCGUGCCUCGUUCCAAUUGCAGGUUGUUUUAACUUUUCUAGAUUCAUAUAUAUUAUUAUGCAUCUAGAUAUAGUGUCCACUCAUUAUACACACGUACUACUAGCCACAACUUCAAUUGUUUCAAUUCGUUCGUAAUAAAGUAGAGUAAGCUCUUGUUUACUUCACCCCUAACUCCCAACUUUGGCACUAUGCAAAAAGAAGAUUCCCCAUCACAUCAAACUUGCGGUACAUGCAUGGAGUACUAAAUGUAGAUGAAAUUAAAAACUAAUUGCACAGUUUUGUUGUACUUUGCGAGACGAAUCUUUUGAGCCUAAUUAGUCAAUGUUUGGACAAUAAUUCACAAAUACAAACGAAACACUACAGUGUGCUACAGUGCCGGCACAGUAAUUUUGGCACUCCCAAUUUUGGCAACUAAACAAGGCCCAAAUAAGCAUCUAAUUAAGGGCCUGUUUGGUUACCGUGAACUAAAAUUUAGUCUACCCAUUUUAGCUCCUUUUAGUCUCUAAAGUGCCAAACAGCUGGACUAAAAUGUGGACUAAACCCUUUAAUCCUCUAGUCCAAGAGGGGUGGACUAAAAUGGACUAAAAGGCCUCGGAGACACCCCUACCCCUCAUUACUCCCCAUCCCACCCGUCUGAACCCUAUCUCUCCCUGCUGCCAGCGCUCUCUUCCUCCAGAAGCCUCGCCGCUCGCUCACAUCCCCGCUACCGCCGCUCGCUCCCCUCCCUACUCCCGUCGCUCGCUCCCCACGCCACCGCCACCACCUCCUCUCGUACCCACGCUGGAGCCACCGCCCCUGCUCCUCCCCACGCCAUAGCACCUGGUCCUCCCCACCACCGCAUCCAUCAUGGAUGGCCACGAGAACCAGUACCGGGACUUCUUCUCUCAGGCGAGUUCUUCAUCGGCGGCUACCCGCAGCUUCCCUGCUUCCUUGGACGCCGGCGACGAAGACAACUUCGGCCCCUUCUCCUCGCCGGCGGUCCACAGCCUCUCCGAUCCCCUGAUGCGCAUGGAGCACCUCGACCUCAACUCUCAAGCCGACGGCUUCCCCCACCUUGGCUCCUACCAGGAAUACCUCCAGGCGGAUGAUGCUGCCGGCAACCAAGGGCUACCUCUCCUUGCCCCUGGUGGCAGAUCUGCCGCGGAGGAGGCUGUGGAGGUUGCCGCUUGAGGUCCAUGACCACUAGAGCGGGAUCCGGUGGAGGCCAAGGGGGAGGCCGUGGGGGAUCCGUGUCUACCUGCGGAGGCAGAGGGGAAAGCCGUGUGGAAUCGAUGGUACACCGUGGAGGCCGUGGAUCCUCGGUUGCCAGCCACAGCUAUGUUCCUCUAGAGCAACUAGGCACAAUCGAGGAUGAAGAAGACGAUGGCUUUGAAGCCCGUUCCCAGUCGGUAAGAUCCAAGCUCCUCUGCUUUCCUAUGAUGUGAAUUUGUAGCUGAUUUUCUGUGAUGUGAAUUUGUAGCUGAUCUCCUGUGCUGCUGGUUACUUGUCAUGAGUUGAUUAUGAUUAUGAUAAGCUCCUCUACUUUCCUGUGAUGUGAAUUUGUAACUGAUUUCCUGUAAUGUCAAUUUGUAACUAAUUUCCUAUGAUGCCCUUAUUUGUCAUGAGUUGAUUAUGAUUAUGAUAAGCUCCUCUGGUUUUCUGUGAUGUCAAUUUGUAGCUCAUUUCCUGUGAUGUCAAUUUGUAGCUGAUUUUCUGUGAUGCCCUUAUUUAUAGUUGAUAAGAUUUUAUGUAAUAGAAUCAAUUUGAUAAGGCCAAUUGGUCCUAGGAAAACACACAUAUUUUCUGUAAUCUAGCAAUUGAACAAAUAAGGGCAAGGAAUUGCUUGAAUGGUACAAUGUCAGGUAGAGGUUAUAAUGUGGUGACAAGGUUUUUACACAAGAACUGGCCUCAAACAUUCUACCAAACAAAUGAGGAAUAGAUGGACACAAUGCAAAACUCUAUACACAUUCUAGGUUAUGCUUAAUAUCCAUACUGCUUUAAACCGAAGAGCUGAUGGAAUAAUCAUAGCAUCAGCAUCCUUUUGAAAAAAGAGACAGAGGUAAAAUAUCUUUGAACCUUGUUAUCACAUCUUCAAUGCUGCGGUUAUGUCUUCAUGUUUGUGAUAUAAUUCAUCUUUGUUUGUCUGUUUGUUUGUGUGUUUCAAAAAAAAUCUGAAUGUAAGAAGUUUCAGUAUGGAGUACCUACUUAUGUUGACCAACUAGCUGAAAUGUUUCAUGGGGUGACAGUAGAUGGAUCAAUCUCUUGCAUCCCUAGUCAAGCACCUUAUGACUCUAAAGGAGCAUAUGAUGAUGAGGAAGGUGAAGAUGCAGAUGGAGAAGGCUUUUGAGCAGUCCAAUGAGUAGUAACAGCCGCAAGAGGGCAAGCAACACUACAGAUACAACCACAAGUCCACCCAAGAAAAGCAAAAGUCCAAUAUUGAAGAUGUUUCAAGGGCUGAUUAUAGAGUUACAAAUUGCAAAAAAUAAGGAAGAAGAAACACUAGCUCAACUUACAAACAAGAAGAGCCAGCAGAAGAAGGAGAUCAAACAAGAUAUAGCAAGAUGUCUGGAAUUGGCUGUGGAGUGUGGAGCAGAUUAUGACUCAAAGGAAUACUACAUGGCUAUUGAAAUGUUUAGUUUUCAAUAUAAUCAACAAGUCUUUUACCAGUUUAAAAAGAAUGAAGACAUGUUGAAGUAGUUGAAGAGAUGCUACCAGGACUACAAUUGAUUUGAUGUUGUAACUUAAUUUAUAUGGAACAUAAUUUGUGUGUGGAACAGCUGUGUGCUGAACUUUUCAUAUGUUAUGAAUGUUUUUUGAAUUUAGAUGCUGCUGCUGGGAUUACAUUACAUUUUCUUGCUUGUUUGCUGCUGGUUAGUUGAUGCUGCUGGUUACUGCUACUUGAUGCUGUGUGUUGAACUUUUCAUGUUGCUGCUACUGAUUAUUUGCUACUGGUUACUGCUACUGAUUAAUUGCUGCUACUACUGAUUGCAGGGGUCUGAUGAUGAUUAGGAAAUAGCAGAAUAUGUCUUGAAGUGUCAGAAGAAGAGGAGAAGACUUGCUAUUAUGGCUAGUGCCAUUAUCGGUAUGUACCACUUUGACACAUACAUGAACAAAUCGAAGUACAGGUCUUGACGUGUUCUAUACUCUCUUUUGUCUCAUUAUUGUAAUAGUUGCCUUGUGACUUACAUAAAUUUUUUUGAAUAUGUAGGCAAGUUCUAUCUUGUCGACUCGAGGUAUCCAAACCGACCGGGUUAUCUUGCACCGUACAAGGGUACAAAGUAUCAUCUCCCGGAGUAUCGACAAGGUCCAAUGCCAAGAGGUAAAAACGAGCAAUUUAAUUAUGCACAUUCUUCACUUCGUAAUGUCAUCGAGCGGUCUUUUGGAGUUUUGAAGAUGAAGUGGAGGAUUUUGUUAGAUCUACCAAGUUAUCCGAUGCCAAAGCAAAGUUAAAUAAUUAUUGCAUGCAUGGCACUUCAUAAUUCCGAGAGAGUUUUUUUGGCGGAUGCAGACUUUGAUUUGGUUGAUCAUGAUGAAAACUUUAUUCCAUUCUCUGAAGCAUCGUCUUCUCAAGGAAAUGUAGCUAAUACACGUCACAGGGACGAAAAUCAAACCAUGUAUCAGUUCCGUGAUUGAAUAGCCCAUGGUUUGUUUAGUAGGUCAUAGCUGUCAUGGUUUCAAAUGUAUGGAUAAUUUUUUGAAUGUAUGAGCAUUUUUGCGAAUGUAUGACCAAUUUUGAUGAUGUGCCAUGCGCGCAAAAUCGGCUAGCAGCGCAGCCAGUAGCAAAAUAGGGGCACGACAGUACAACACAGGAGUGUUUGACAAGGCAGAACAUAUGAUCUUAAUAGGGGGUAAAGACAUCUUUGUUCAACUGCAUUAAUGGACUUUAGUCCAUGAAAUCAAACAGGAUACGGACUAAAGUCCAUUGAAAAAAAACAAACACGGGCUAAGUUUACCUUUAUAUUACUAGCUAGCUUUUGUAUUGAAUGCGUAACAUGUUUAGCCAUCAAAAUUUGGUGAGGUAGCUGCCAGCAGACAUGUAGUACCAACUGCAAUCAAACAAAUGCACAUGACUCUACGAUUUAAAUCCUGAUGGGAUGCCCACCCUUAUUUACGCACAGGCAGGCAGGGUGCUUUCAUCUAGAUCGACGUGAUUCCCUAUACAUAAGUAAGUUUAGUGGCACAAUAAUGCAAGUAUGCAACUAUAUAAGCAGCAGAAAAGGAGACGCAUCCAUUUCCCAUCACUGAAAAUUUUCGAUUCAAUUUCCUUGUAUAGAAUUGGGGAAGAUCUAGAUGAAUGAAUGAAUAUAUAAAACUAGGAGGGUAGAGAGUCAGAGUUUAGACCUUCGUGAAGAUGCCGGUUGCCCAUGGAUGGUAGUGGGCUGGUCCUAUGAGUUGUGGGCUUCUAAUUGGUUGCCACUUUCUUAUACUAUUGUAUUGGGCCGUACUUGAAGGAAAAUAUAAAGUUAUUGGGCCGAGAUAGCUUCGCCGAGCACGGUGUAUUUUGACAUAGCUUUGUGUAUAUAAAUCGAGGAUAUUACGUUCUUGUGAAUCAUGCAUGCACGUAGCUAGAGCUG